AAAUAUUCUCAGUCUUUGUUCUUUUGUUCCUGUUUGUACAAAACGAGCUAAUGUCAGUUUGGAUUAUUAACGCUCAGUCUUCACUGAUCAAUCUGACGCUCAGCAUAUAACUCGUUAAAAUGUCAUCAAUUACUAGAAUUAUCUACGAAAUAGAAACUGAGUUUUAUGUAUAUUUUGAUAAUGGCGAUAUUAAACGUGAAAAAUUGGCUUUACAAGCAAUUGAUUAUGAAACAUAUCUAGACGCUGUUAAUUUGCAUCGAAAGAACUACAUGGCCAAGAAUUGGAUUCAUUCCCAGACUCAGUUGCUGCACGAGAAGACCAUUUUAAAUGAGCAGCAAUUCAAUGACAUUCUCAAGAAACACAUUUCUACUCCUAAAACUAUCUCUAUGGAAGUUCAUAUUUGUGUGGAAAAACCUAAUUCUGGAUGGCAUAGGUUUAUUCCUGAAGAAAGCAGAAAACUGUACUCUUUUGAAUUUUGAUCAAUACAUUUUUGUUUCCACUUCA
Molecule: long non-coding RNA, 504 nt
Filed under: Daphnia magna
Lineage: Eukaryota; Metazoa; Arthropoda; Branchiopoda; Diplostraca; Daphniidae
Description: uncharacterized LOC123472203
Source: RNAcentral